This 291-nucleotide long non-coding RNA is filed under the name Parus major (Great Tit). RNAcentral's name for it is "lncRNA (ENSPMJG00000011189.1)". Lineage: Eukaryota; Metazoa; Chordata; Aves; Passeriformes; Paridae. The record is from RNAcentral.
CUGAGGUCUGUCACCUUCCCAAGUCUGAAAAGCUCUGAGAAACGAAGCAGAUCCUCAUGGGUCGAGAAAAGCUGCAGUGACACCCAGCAUUUGCAAAUCCAGCCCAGUGUGUCUGGCUUCCCCUCACAGGGGUUCUUUUAGGGUUCUUCAUGGGACCAGGACACUGCACAGAGCAUGAAGCAAUCGUGGAGCUGGAGAGAUCUGACUGUCCUGAAUGUCAGCUUCAAAGUAAGUGCUCAGUGGCUUAUGAGAAAUGGAGCUUGCCUCUGAGUGCCUCAAUAUGCUGAGAGG